This 126-nucleotide small RNA is filed under the name Marmota monax (woodchuck). Lineage: Eukaryota; Metazoa; Chordata; Mammalia; Rodentia; Sciuridae. The record is from RNAcentral.
GCUGGGCACAGUGGUGCAUGCCUGUAAACCCAGCAACUCAGUAGGCUGAGGCAGGGGAUGGCAAGUUUGAGGGCAUCCUCAGCAAUUUAGCAAGUCCCUCAGCAACUUAGCAAGACCUUGUCUCAA